This 215-nucleotide long non-coding RNA is filed under the name Nicotiana benthamiana. RNAcentral's name for it is "long non-coding RNA (NBEN_LNC018216)". The record is from RNAcentral. Lineage: Eukaryota; Viridiplantae; Streptophyta; Magnoliopsida; Solanales; Solanaceae.
UAAACCACCUCAGAAUGUGACAAAAUAUAGCAACGAAGAGCAAAGUUUGGAAUGAACCUUAAGAAAUUAUAGCAACAUAGCAGGAGCUGGAAUCAGAAAGACUCAAACACCGAAAUGGACUCGCUUCCCUUGGUCGUUUACCCGUUUUGAAUUUCCAAAAGGAGCAAAGUUUUUGGAACAUGAUUGGGAUAAUCAACAGAAACUGGAAACUUGGC